RNAcentral lists this ribosomal RNA (403 nucleotides) under uncultured bacterium. RNAcentral describes it as "partial 16S ribosomal RNA". It matches the Rfam family "Bacterial small subunit ribosomal RNA", at positions 30 to 526 of the family's 1533-position model. The record is from RNAcentral.
AUUGAACGCUGGCGGCAGGCCUAACACAUGCAAGUCGAGCGAGCGGCGGACGGGUGAGUAAUGUAUGGGGACUGCCCGAUAGAGGGGGAUAACUACUGGAAACGGUAGCUAAUACCGCAUACUAUCGGAUAACCCAUAUGGGAUUAGCUAGUAGGUGAGGUAAUGGCUCACCUAGGCGACGAUCCCUAGCUGGUCUGAGAGGAUGAUCAGCCACACUGGGACUGAGACACGGCCCAGACGCCUACGGAGGCAGCAUGGGGGAAUAUUGCACAAGGGUCGAGAGCCUUAUGCAGCCAUGCCGCGUGUAAUAAGAAGGCCCUAGGGUUGUAAAGUACUUUUAGUCGGGAAGGGUUACCGACAGAAGAAGCACCGGCUAACUCCGUACCAGCAGCGGCAGUAAUUC